UACGUAGGGGGCAAGCGUUAUCCGGAUUUACUGGGUGUAAAGGGAGCGCAGACGGCAGUGCAAGUCUGGAGUGAAAGCCCGGGGCCCAACCCCGGGACUGCUCUGGAAACUGUACGGCUGGAGUACGGGAGGGGCAGGCGGAAUUCCUAGUGUAGCGGUGAAAUGCGUAGAUAUUAGGAGGAACACCGGUUGCGAAGGCGGCUCUCUGGAUUGUAACUGACACUGAGGCACGAAAGCGUGGGGAGCAAACAGG
Molecule: ribosomal RNA, 253 nt
Filed under: uncultured bacterium
Lineage: Bacteria
Description: partial 16S ribosomal RNA
Rfam family: Bacterial small subunit ribosomal RNA
Source: RNAcentral